This is a long non-coding RNA of Neogale vison (American mink), 645 nucleotides long. RefSeq lists it as uncharacterized. Lineage: Eukaryota; Metazoa; Chordata; Mammalia; Carnivora; Mustelidae. The transcript has 5 exons. The record is from RefSeq and is a predicted model, not a curated record.
CCCAGUUUGGGCUCACCCUAGGCAGCAGCUUUCCGACAAGGCCUCACUACCCACGGCGUGGUCCGGAGGAAGUUCUCGAGGGCCAGGAGGUCCACUUCCGGUCAUGUCCAGUGAAUGCUUCCUCUGCUGUGCUGAGUGUGCUGGCCUGAAACCAAGGGUGUCGUUUCAUUCCCAACCUCCGGGCUGAUUCUGGGCACAGGAAACAGCGGCCUGAGCUCAGUUUUCAUCUUGGAAGCUACAGCGUUUCUGAGUUGGCAGGAGAUUCUGUUUCCAGUGAAUACCCCAGCAAAUUUGGCAAUGAGAGUAAGACUUCUGGAAGUUCCUGAAUCACGUAAGAGGUGGACACACAAUAGUCAGGUGGGGCAGCCUCUUUACUGACCAGACAUAUAGUGGCAGCAAGCAGCGGGGGAGCUGGGCUACGAGCUGAGGUAAUAGCCUUCCCUCACCCCAGGCCCCCUGUGGACCACACGGCCCCUCAAGCAGGUGGACGUGGUCUGAGAGACAGGGCCUGGAACAAAUCUGUUUCUUUGGAGGACAGACCAAGUGUCACCGCAUUUGCUUUGACUCAACCAUCCCCCAUUCCCCUCUCCUUUAAAAUCCUCAGUUUGAUUCCCGGAGUCCAGAGUCUCUCAUGAUUCGUCUCCC